CCUACGGGGUGCAGCAGUGAGGAAUAUUGGUCAAUGGACGCAAGUCUGAACCAGCCAUGCCGCGUGCAGGAUGACGGCUCUAUGAGUUGUAAACUGCUUUUGUACGAGGGUAAACCCCGAUACGUGUAUCGGGUUGAAAGUAUCGUACGAAUAAGGAUCGGCUAACUCCGUGCCAGCAGCCGCGGUAAUACGGAGGAUCCGAGCGUUAUCCGGAUUGAUUGGGUUUAAAGGGUGCGUAGGCGGUUUGAUAAGUUAGAGGUGAAAGGUCGGGGCUCAACCCCGAAACUGCCUCGAAUACUGUUGGACUAGAGAAUAGUUGCGGUAGGCGGAAUGUAUGGUGUAGCGGUGAAAUGCUUAGAGAUCAUACAGAACACCGAUUGCGAAGGCAACUUACCAAACUAUAUCUGACGUUGAGGCACGAAAGCGUGGGUAGCAAACAGGAUUAGAUACCCUAGUAGUC
Molecule: ribosomal RNA, 460 nt
Filed under: uncultured bacterium
Lineage: Bacteria
Description: partial 16S ribosomal RNA
Rfam family: Bacterial small subunit ribosomal RNA
Source: RNAcentral